CACGCUGUAAACGAUGAUGACUAGCUGCCGGCGAUACACUGUCGGUGGCCCAGCGAAAGCGAUAAGUCAUCCACCUGGGGAGUACGACCGCAAGGUUGAAACUCAAAGGAAUUGACGGGGGCCCGCACAAGCGGAGGAACAUGUGGUUUAAUUCGAUGAUACGCGAGGAACCUUACCCGGGCUCGAACGGCAGACGACUUAUACAGAGACGUAUAUUCCCUUCGGGGCGUCUGUCGAGGUGC
RNAcentral lists this ribosomal RNA (242 nucleotides) under uncultured Rikenella sp. RNAcentral's name for it is "partial 16S ribosomal RNA". It matches the Rfam family "Bacterial small subunit ribosomal RNA", at positions 796 to 1041 of the family's 1533-position model. Lineage: Bacteria; Pseudomonadati; Bacteroidota; Bacteroidia; Bacteroidales; Rikenellaceae. The record is from RNAcentral.